UACAGAGGGGGCAAGCGUUGUUCGGAAUUACUGGGCGUAAAGGGCGCGUAGGUGGCCUUCUAAGUUGAACGUGAAAUCCCUGGGCUCAACCCAGGAACUGCGUCCAAGACUGGGAGGCUUGAAUCCGGGAGAGGGAUGCGGAAUUCCAGGUGUAGCGGUGAAAUGCGUAGAUAUCCGGAGGAACACCGGUGGCGAAGGCGGCAUCCUGGACCGGUAUUGACACUGAGGCGCGAAAGCCAGGGGAGCAAACGGG
RNAcentral lists this ribosomal RNA (253 nucleotides) under uncultured bacterium. RNAcentral describes it as "partial 16S ribosomal RNA". It matches the Rfam family "Bacterial small subunit ribosomal RNA", at positions 524 to 776 of the family's 1533-position model. The record is from RNAcentral.